This is a long non-coding RNA of Meriones unguiculatus (Mongolian gerbil), 352 nucleotides long. RefSeq lists it as uncharacterized. The record is from RefSeq and is a predicted model, not a curated record. The transcript is spliced from 3 exons. Lineage: Eukaryota; Metazoa; Chordata; Mammalia; Rodentia; Muridae.
GGCCGAGUUCCAGAAAAGCGAGAGGCGCUGCUCUGAGGAAAAGCCGAAGGGCUCUGUGCCCCCGGGGCCUCUGGUGCUCGCUCUGCCAGGUGCAGGCUAGUUACAGAUGGCAAAAGCCGUUAGGCCCUGCAGAAGGCAACUAAGAACCGCGUGGGAGGAAAUGAAAGCCGGCGCCAGAUGCUGGCCACCCCUUCACUUGCUGGUGACUCUGUCCUCUGAAGAUCCUCAUUCCCCCAGCUCUGGAACCUCCUGUGGACCUUCCUGUCACGUUCUCCCUCCAGCCUCUCUGGCACCUCUCUCAGCACUCCAGCUCUGAUCACCCAACCUCCUGCCUUUGAAUACAGACUAUCAC